RNAcentral lists this ribosomal RNA (465 nucleotides) under uncultured bacterium. RNAcentral describes it as "partial 16S ribosomal RNA". It matches the Rfam family "Bacterial small subunit ribosomal RNA", at positions 338 to 795 of the family's 1533-position model. The record is from RNAcentral.
CCUACGGGUGGCAGCAGUAGGGAAUCUUCCACAAUGGACGAAAGUCUGAUGGAGCAACGCCGCGUGAGUGAAGAAGGGUUUCGGCUCGUAAAGCUCUGUCGGCAGUGAAGAAAGAUAGGGGAAGUAACUAGGCAUCCUUGGCCGGCAAUUAGCUAGAAAGUCACGGCUAACUACGUGCCAGCAGCCGCGGUAAUACGUAGGUGGCAAGCGUUGUCCGGAUUGAUUGGGCGUAAAGGGAGUGCAGGCGGGGCAAUAAGUCAGAAGUGAAAGCCUUGGGCUCAACCGGAGCAAUGCAUCAGAAACUGUGGUACUGGAGUGCAGGAGAGGAGAGUGGAACUCCAGGUGUAGCGGUGAAAUGCGUAGAUAUAUGGAGGAACACCGGUGGCGAAGGCGGCUAUCUGGUCUGCAACUGACGCUGAGGCUCGAAAGCAUGGGUAGCAAACAGGAUUAGAUACCCGUGUAGUC